RNAcentral lists this ribosomal RNA (407 nucleotides) under uncultured bacterium. Its description in RNAcentral is "bacterial SSU rRNA". It matches the Rfam family "Bacterial small subunit ribosomal RNA", at positions 355 to 776 of the family's 1533-position model. The record is from RNAcentral.
UUAGGAAUAUUGGGCAAUGGAGGAAACUCUGACCCAGCAACGCCGCGUGAAGGAAGAAGGUUUUCGGAUUGUAAACUUCUGAUCUAGGGGAAAAAGAAAGUGAUGGUACCCUAGGAGAAAGCCACGGCUAACUACGUGCCAGCAGCCGCGGUAAUACGUAGGUGGCAAGCGUUGUCCGGAAUGACUGGGCGUAAAGGGAGCGUAGGUUGUUGUUUAAGUUAAAUGUGAAAGCCCGUGGCUCAACUACGGAACUGCAUUUAAUACUGGACAACUAGAGUGCAGGAGGGGUAAGCGGAAUUCCUAGUGUAGCGGUGGAAUGCGUAGAUAUUAGGAAGAACACCAGAGGCGAAGGCGGCUUACUGGACUGUAACUGACACUGAGGCUCGAAAGCGUGGGGAGCAAACAGG